Quercus robur (English oak) is the source of this 4464-nucleotide long non-coding RNA. RefSeq lists it as uncharacterized. NCBI's taxonomy places the organism in Eukaryota, Viridiplantae, Streptophyta, Magnoliopsida, Fagales, Fagaceae. The transcript is spliced from 8 exons. The record is from RefSeq and is a predicted model, not a curated record.
CUUUCACCCAAAUCUUUUCCCACUGUCUUUUUUCAGUUCCCCUCCAAACCCCUGUUUAAUUUCCACUAUUUCUCAUCAUGUUUUGUUGUGGUUUUCUUUUACUUUUAGGCUAAUCAAGAGUGACCCAGAUGCAAAAGCACACUCUUUUUUGUUCUUCUAUGAUGGGUAAGGAAAUUUAGCAGCAAAAUAAUGAAUGUAUGUAUAUAUGUAGUUCAUAAAUUUUCCCAAUGGCUGAUGUUAGCGACUCUAGCAAUAUUCAGAUUCUUGACUCUCAGCCUCAGCCCCCAUGAUCACCACCAUCUGUAGGAAAUGAAGCUAAUGAUGUGACAGAAGUUGGGUAUGCUAUGGCUUAUGAAGAUACUGUUGUGCUUGAUAGUUCAUUAGCGAAACCCAGUUGGAAAAACUUGUUUUUGAUGACGAGGUUGUGGGUGAUGGGAUUGGGGGUGCAGUAUGUGAGUAUGAGGAAGAGGUGGUGCUUGACAGUGAGGAUGAGGGAGUGCAGGGAAGUAAAGUGGUUAAUGUUGUUAAUGGCGUAUUGGACGGUAAAGCCGGUAGAAGAUUGAAAUGGAAUGUGAUGGACUUGUGGAAGGGGCAGCUCAGUUCGCCUUGGAAGCGAGUGGACAUGGCAUUGGCAUCAAAUGUCUCCAACCAGGAACAAUUUGGAGCAGGGAAUAAAGGAUCUUCUAUAAAUUUUGAGAGCACUGGUAGGGGAAAAAAUCUAUCUCAUCCACCUCCAAGUGAUUACAACCUUGCUAGAUUGAAUUACAUCAAUUCUCAGGAACCUGGGGAGUCGGCUGAAGCCAAUGCACUCAGGUUUGUGGAUCACUUCUUGUCAUCUAACAAUGUUGGCAUGUCUCCAAGUGUUGGCCAUGGAAAGACUUUUAGGGAGAAUCACUUCCUGUAUUCAGUGCAAAAGGAACUCAAGUUUGGCAAAGAGAAUUAAACUUGGAACCGCAAUUGUAAAAACAGGAGCCCUUGAAUGGACUGAUAGUGAUCAGCAUGGAGGUGGUGAAAUUGCUAGCAAAAGGAUGGAGGCAUCUAUUGAUUUUGGAGGUUGCAGGCAGAAAUCAGUGACAAGUCAUCAGGACACCAGGAAUCUUCACAUUAAACAAGGUGGCAGCUUAGUUAAUGAGGGCAAAGAGAACAAUGAGUUCCUAAAUCUCAGUAAGGAAAUGAUGCAUUCAACUUGUGCUGAUUCAAGGUCUGCCUUAUUCAGCUCAAAAGAGAUUAACAGGACAUUACAAGUAAUUGAAAAUAACCCUGUUGAGGAAUUAGAGGAUCGGUUAGAUGCUAGCUUAACAGGACAACAGUUGGAAGCUAGCAAUAUGGAAAGAGAAACAUCUGACAUGUUUGAUAUUGGUUUUAACACUCAAGUGGCUGUUGAAGCUAUGGAAGCUCUAGCAUAUGGACAGUUAUGGUAAUGCUUAUCAAAGUCCAGAAAACACCCUUGAUCAUUCUACAAGAGGUGUAAAUGAGAAUGAAGCUCAUUUUGGACAUCCGUCCUUCCAAGAGACUGCUUGUUUUGAUUUAGGAGACAGCAAGAAAAACAAAGCGAAGAAAGCGUUCUGCUAGAAGAUUUAGUAGGGGAAGUUCAGGUUCAUUUCAGAAGCAGUCUGUAAAUCAGGAGUUAGAUCUUGAGUUGGUAAUAACAACAAAAGUGAGAAGAGGCAAGUCCUCUGAUCAGAGACAGUUAAACAGUGGAAAUUCUGGUGAUGCAAUUGAAAGUUUAGGCAGAAGAUCUGUUAAGCCUAAUAAGCAAAGAAAGGCAGAGGGAUCUUCAGAAAGGAACAAACUUAAAUAUUUUAAGAUUGAUGUGUGUCCACCUCUGUCAGUUGAAAAUGUCUCACUUGGCAAAGUACAGUCCCAAGGAAAGUGUAUGAAUUUAUCUCUGAUUGCCCACCAUGACAGGCAGUGGAUGUCAGGGAGUAAUGUGAUAAAGACUAAGAAUCAAUUAGAUAAUCCAGGAGAUGUUAUAUAAUUCAAUACAGAAGAAAGAAGAGCCGUGUAGUUGCUGAUCCAGUUGAAGUUUUGAGAGCCAACGAAGGAAAUUCCAAACUGGACUUCAAUUCAUCUAGGGAAGCUAGAAACAGCAAAUUGAAUCACAAAGAUCAAUUUGUUCAAAGAAAGGCAGAGGCAUCUUCGGAAGGUACCAAACUUAAAGAGUUUGAGAUUGAUGUGUGUUCUUCUGUGUCAGUUGAAAAUAUCUCACUUGCCAAGGGACAGUCCCAAGGGAAGUGUAUGAAUCUAUGUCCUGUUGCCCAAAGAAACAGCCAAAGGAUGUCAGAGGGUAAGUUGAUGAGGACUAAGAAUCUAGGAGAAAGGAUAAAUGAUGGUGUUAUAAUUCAAUACAGAAGAAAGAGGAGCCGUGUAGUAGUUGAUCCAGUUGAAGUUUUGAGUGCUGAUGGAGAAUAUUCCAAAUUGGACUUCAGUUCAUCUUGCGAAGCUAGAAACAGCAAAUUGAAUCAAGAUGAUCAAUCGAUUCAAGAGGUCACCGCCAUAACCAAUUCCUUAAGUUGAUGAGGACUAAGAAUCUAGGAGAAAGGAUAAAUGAUGGUGUUAUAAUUCAAUACAGAAGAAAGAGGAGCCGUGUAGUAGUUGAUCCAGUUGAAGUUUUGAGUGCUGAUGGAGAAUAUUCCAAAUUGGACUUCAGUUCAUCUUGCGAAGCUAGAAACAGCAAAUUGAAUCAAGAUGAUCAAUCGAUUCAAGAGGUCACCGCCAUAACCAAUUCCUUAAGAUCAAAUUCAUGGAGAUAUCCAAGAGGGAAAAGAACAUAUCGUAGUGUACGAAGACAUUCAAGUGGACCUAAUAACAUGCAUGCCUCAUUCACAACAGUAGAUUGAAAUGACAGAAAUCUUCAUUGUAUUGAAAGUCAAAAAAGUUCAGAGGGCAUUGAAAAGUGAAGGGGAAAGCAAAUUCACCAGUAUAUACUUGCCCACAUCGGCAUUCUACAGAAACUGAUGAACCAGAUUCUGCUGGUGCUAUUUCAAACUGUGAAUCAGAUGCCAUCAAUACAAGAGUAUUUCCUACAGGUUUGUGCAGAGCCAGGGCAUCUAUGCAAUCUGGAAGUCUAAAUGGGAAAGAUUAUAUAUCAUCUACUGGUGGUGCAGGAAAGAACCAUAAGUUGGAGGUGUGAUCAAACAAGACUACUGAGCCAUCUGGUUCAGAAAAAACUAUUACAUUUAGCUCUGCCAAGGGCAUAAAUGUGGCAACAUCCAAUUGUAUAUAUUAUGAUUAUCACAGAAAACCAUGCAACAAAAACCUACCAAAAUCAUCCUUUUUGAAAGAGCUUUUAAGACUGGGUGUCCCUGAGUCAACACCUGAGAUUACCUGGAAAGACUCAAGAAGACGAAGAGAUAUGGCAUUUGUUCGAGUCUUGUUUAGCCAGCACUUGGACAACAAUAUCAUCAAGCAACAGAAAAAGAUCCUGGGAUGACUGGGCAUAUCCGUUGCGUCAUGUUGCAGGGAUGCCACACAUUUCAUAGCUGACAAAUUUGCACGUACAAGGAAUAUGUUGGAAUCCAUUGCUCUAGGAAAACCAGUGGUGACACACUUAUGGCUAGAGAGCUGUGGACAAGCAAGCCGCUUCAUUGAUGAGAAAAAUUACAUUCUGAGGGAUACCAAAAAGGAAAAGGAAAUUGGCUUUAGCAUGCCUGUCUCACUAACUCGUGCAAGCCAACAUCCAAUUCUAAAGGGUCGCAGAGUCGUUAUUACCCCAAGUAUAAAACCUGAUAAAGAAAUGAUUACAAGCUUGGUCAAAGCAGUUCAUGGCCAGCCAGUGGAGAGAAGUCAAGUAUUUCCAGCAAAGGAUGAAAAGAUCCUAGAUGAUCUUUUGAUUCUUUCUUGUGAAGAAGAUCAUGCAAUCUGUAGGCCUUUCCUUCAGAAAGGAGCAGCAGUUUAGAGUUCAGAGCCUUUACUGAAUGGAAUAGUUAUUCAGAAAUUGGAAUACGUAAGACAUAAGCUGUUCACAAAUCAAGAGGAAUCUCUAUAGCACAUGAUCAAGAAGCCACUUGCUAUAACAGUAGCAUUGCAUUUUUGCAAUCACAUUGAUAAUCUGAAUCUUUCUAGCACAAGAUCAAAGAAAGAUGAUGACUUUUGUCUUUGUGUAAGCAUGUAUUUAGUUUUCCCUUAUUGGUUUUUGCGUUUGUGGGUGCUAGAAUUCCUUGCAGCCGAAUCAGUUUUCUGCUGGAAAGGGAGGGGUUGGUCAUUUUUGUUGUAAAUUAUAUAUCAGUAGUUCACCGGAGUUCUUUUGGUAAUCAUAGAAACUUUUGCAUAUUUGUUUCAUGUCAAAACUCAUCAAAUUUCUUUGGGAAAAAAGAGCACUAAAUUGUUGUCUACUAAUCAAUGUAGUGUAGUGUAGUAUAGCGUAAGCAUUAUGCCAGGAUUUGGGGGUUUGUAAUUGCUUUUUUAAGGACACCCUGCAAUAUACAUGCCCCAAGAGUAUUAAGCAUAUAUUGAUUUGUGUAA